Molecule: RNA transcript, 469 nt
Organism: Octopus sinensis (East Asian common octopus)
Lineage: Eukaryota; Metazoa; Mollusca; Cephalopoda; Octopoda; Octopodidae
Exons: 2
Source: RefSeq, a predicted model, not a curated record
CUUUUAUUUUUCGAUUUCAACACCCAUCUUUGCAUAAAACCCAUAGCUCACUUUCUACGGUUUCAUUCACUGCGGUUAACUUCUUUCUUAUAUCCUGUCUCCAUCUUUUAGUAUAGAUACAUGCAUUUCUCUCAUUCAGUUGUUAUCUUGUUUUUGUAAUUUUACUUUUAAACAAACGAAGGAAAUAUUUUUCACGUAUAACAAGGAGACCAACUCGAAACUGAACCCAUUGAACAGAGUGAUGGCAGCCAGACUUGACUUUGAAGAAAGGAAAUUUAUUCUAAAAUGCUACUGGAAGUAUGAAAACGCAGUAGAAGUGCAAAGACAAUUUAGGAGGGAGUUUAACAAAGAACCACCAACACGAGUUACCAUCACUCGAAUUAGAGAUAAGUUUGAAGCUGAUGGAAUUGUUCAGGACGCCCAUUAGAAGCGUUCUGGAACACCACGUACAUCGACAAGCCCCACAAAA